Molecule: long non-coding RNA, 310 nt
Filed under: Elaeis guineensis (African oil palm)
Lineage: Eukaryota; Viridiplantae; Streptophyta; Magnoliopsida; Arecales; Arecaceae
Description: long non-coding RNA (EGUI_LNC008769)
Source: RNAcentral
AUCUUGUAUCAGCAUCUGCAGAAUCUUCGGUAAGGCCCCAAAUCCGUAGAUGAGUACACGAAGGAGUUCUAUCAGUUGGUGGCACGAAACGAUCUGGCGGAGAGUGAGUAGUAGAUGGUCGCACGAUACCUCAGAGGUUUAUGACAGCAGAUCCAAGAUGCCUUAAGGCUUUACACUAUAUGGACGGUCAAGGAGGUGUACCAUAGGACUAUUAUGGCUGAGGAGCUAUUGCAAUGAAGGCCUAUGAUUAGAUCUGAUUCUACCUUAUGAAGUAAUCAAGUUCUAGAAAAUCAGAAAGACAUGCAAGGUA